Molecule: ribosomal RNA, 501 nt
Filed under: uncultured bacterium
Lineage: Bacteria
Description: partial 16S ribosomal RNA
Rfam family: Bacterial small subunit ribosomal RNA
Source: RNAcentral
AUUGAACGCUGGCGGCAGGCUUAACACAUGCAAGUCGAGCGGAGCGAGGGUGCUUGCACCUUAGCUUAGCGGUGGACGGGUGAGUAAUGCUUAGGAAUCUGCCUAUUAGUGGGGGACAACAUUCCGAAAGGGAUGCUAAUACCGCAUACGCCCUACGGGGGAAAGCAGGGGAUCGUCGGACCUUGCGCUAAUAGCUGAGCCUAAGUCGGAUUAGCUAGUUGGUGGGGUAAAGGCCUACCAAGGCGACGAUCUGUAGCGGGUCUGAGAGUAUGAUCCGCCACACUGGGACUGAGACACGGCCCAGACUCCUACGGGAGGCAGCAGUGGGGAAUAUUGGACAAUGGGCGGAAGCCUGAUCCAGCCAUGCCGCGUGUGUGAAGAAGGCCUUUUGGUUGUAAAGCACUUUAAGCGAGGGGGAGGCUACUAGUAUUAAUACUACUGGAUAGUGGACGUUACUCGCAGAAUAAGCACCGGCUAACUCUGUGCCAGCAGCCGCAGUAA